UUUGGAUCCGGUUGUUUGGCUCUGAAAAUCGAGUUGUUGCGGGCUUUCCAGACGAACCAUAGCACCGUCGCCACCAACUCCUUUUCGGAGUAGGAACAGAUGCUCGGUCAUCUCCGAACAUGUAUUACAAAGCAAGCAUAUUGGGUUAGGGUGCGUUACUAGAAGAAGUGGACUAUGGUCUGAGCCUACAGCUGGGAGAGCCAGAGCUUCAGCAUUUGGAAACGCCACCCUCCAUUCCAUGGCGUUUCAGGGACGACAUCUUCAGCAUCAUAAGUUGUCUCUAAUUUCCCAUAGAAUGCUUCCCAAUGAGGGUUGUGAUGUGACAUCCCAGAUUUUCAACCCUGUUUUCUACUGAACAAAUCGGGCAUUUC
Molecule: long non-coding RNA, 371 nt
Organism: Eucalyptus grandis
Lineage: Eukaryota; Viridiplantae; Streptophyta; Magnoliopsida; Myrtales; Myrtaceae
Exons: 4
Source: RefSeq, a predicted model, not a curated record